GAGUUUGAUCAUGGCUCAGAACGAACGCUGGCGGCGUGCUUAACACAUGCAAGUUGCGCGCGAAAGGGGUAACCUGAGUAGAGCGGCGCACGGGUGCGUAACACGUGGGUAAUCUGCCCUACAGAGUUGAAUAACCUUCCGAAAGGUUGGCUAAUGUGACGUACGUUUUCCUGUUAGCUAUAGGAAAAGAAAGGAUGGCCUCUAUUAAUAAGCCAUCGCUGUAGGAUGAGCCCGCGGCCCAUCAGCUAGUUGGUAAGGUAAUGGCUUACCAAGGCAAAGACGGGUAGCUGGUCUGAGAGGACGAUCAGCCACACUGGAACUGAGACACGGUCCAGACUCCUACGGGAGGCAGCAGUGGGGAAUAUUGCACAAUGGGCGAAAGCCUGAUGCAGCAACGCCGCGUGAGGGAUGAAGGGUUUCGGCUCGUAAACCUCUUUCGACCGGGAAGAAAAACUGCUUGCUAAUAGUAAGCAGCUUGACGGUACCGAGGGAAGAAGCACCGGCUAACUCUGUGCCAGCAGCCGCGGUAAUACAGAGGGUGCAAGCGUUGUUCGGAAUUAUUGGGCGUAAAGCGCGUGUAGGCGGCUUAAUAAGUUGAUUGUGAAAGCCCUCGGCUU
RNAcentral lists this ribosomal RNA (617 nucleotides) under uncultured bacterium. RNAcentral describes it as "bacterial SSU rRNA". It matches the Rfam family "Bacterial small subunit ribosomal RNA", at positions 9 to 610 of the family's 1533-position model. The record is from RNAcentral.